GCUAAUUGCUAGGGGUCUGCGUUUUUAAACAAAUGGUUUAACAAAAUGCAGUGAGAUAUACCCUUCGAACCUGAUGCGGGUCAUGCCGCCGUAGGAAAGCAUCAAUCCGCUUUC
RNAcentral lists this non-coding RNA (114 nucleotides) under Methylotenera mobilis. Its description in RNAcentral is "TPP sequence". It matches the Rfam family "TPP riboswitch aptamer (THI element)". From Rfam's summary of the family: Vitamin B(1) in its active form thiamin pyrophosphate (TPP) is an essential coenzyme that is synthesised by coupling of pyrimidine and thiazole moieties in bacteria. The previously detected thiamin-regulatory element, thi box was extended, resulting in a new, highly conserved RNA secondary structure, the THI element, which is widely distributed in eubacteria and also occurs in some archaea. Analysis of operon structures identified a large number of new candidate thiamin-regulated genes, mostly transporters, in various prokaryotic organisms. Lineage: Bacteria; Pseudomonadati; Pseudomonadota; Betaproteobacteria; Nitrosomonadales; Methylophilaceae. The record is from RNAcentral. RNAcentral also lists the same sequence under 1 other name.